UUAAAUUUGUUCACAAAUUCCUUUGUCUUACUCCCACUCAACUCCCUUCCUAGCAAUCACCGUGUACAUUUCUUCACACCUAAGUGCCACCAGAAAUACAAGAAGAUAAAGUAUGUUGAUGAUGUUUCUCGUGCUUGGCUACUUCUCUGUCCGCUCCUUAUCUGUGCGCUCACAAUGGCUUCUUUGUUGUGUGUGCAUUUCUUCCAAAUUCAGUGAAUAGUUGCCGAGAUCUUGUCGUUUCCUACAAGAAAUGCUUACAUGUGAAGGGCACACGUUAAAUCAAGGUGGACAUGUGACGCACGCAAUCGAAUUUGUUUCAGGCUUCUCAUCAACCGGUGCCUCGGCUGGGGUGAAGGGACUGGGAAUUGUUUCAUGUAAAUAAAACACAGCUUAGAAAUAAAAAGCACAAAUCACCCUAUGAAUCUGGCUUUGAAUUUGCCUUGUUAACACUAUACUUUGCUAUUUCUCUUUAUGGAGCUCAGAAAGUUAUAAGACCAGGGAUACUCCACUAUGUGGGAAGCUUAUGAAUUCAUGAUCAUGCUAUAUUAGUGUUCCCUAAAAAGAGUAAGGAAUAAAGCAGUAAAAAAAGGGCUAAGCUUAGAUUCAUAGCUCCAGCUUUAGCCAGAAACAUCUCAAGUAUAUGUAUAUACUAAAACUACAUGCCAUCAUAUGUGGUACUAUACAGAAAAUUUAAGUCCUAAUGACCUUUAGUCUCAAGUAGUAUGAGCUAGCAACUCCGUCUUUCCCUCUCUCUAGUUCUAAAUAUGAACAACAAAGUAACAAAAGGCAUGUGAUUACUCAAUCUCCUCAUCUUUAAAUAGUCCAGAAUUCAACCAAAUGAUGUAUUAUUAUCCAUUUGUGCUAGUUCUCGGCUAGCUACAGAAUGUACAUUCUCCUCAUGAUCAUCCCAUAUUACUCAUUUUAUUUCUUAUGGUAAAGGACAUAUAUAGCCUUGUGGAUAGAAACAUAGGGAUGCCAGCAUGCAACAUAGUCAUUGUUCUAAUUUUUUGCAUGCACAAAGACUGCAAUAAACAACACUGAUAAUCAGUAGCUACUUUACUAUACAUACUUAAUCGCGUGAAUAGAUCUGGCUAUACUACAAGUCCUACUAUGAGCAAGCCGGAUAUAUCUAGUGGAAUUCACAUGGAUAACACAAAGUUUCGGGAGAGAAUUACCUCUGUAAAAACAAACAGAGCAAACUGGAUAUAUGCAGUUUUUGCAUAAUAAAACUGAAUGACACUGAACUCUUACAUGCUAACACAUUUUUUUUACAACGAUACAGUUGGGGUCUCUCUCCCAGUUUUUCUCCAUCGUGCGUUGCAUGCAUGCGCUGAGUUGAUCCCUAGCAAGAUCAGAGAGAGCGAAACAGAGAAAAUAUCAAGCCAACUCAAUUAACAUGGUUCUCUAACAUUAUAACUUUUUUAAGGUUGACCCCCUAUAUAAAUAUGUUAUACAAGAUAGCAAGUAGCAUAUAUGAAAUAACAAUGGGAACAUACAAAAAUAUUACUCAAGCUUACCAACGAAAAAUAAUUGAAACAUGAUAUUUCAGCAUCCAUUCCAUUCACUAACAAUGGAAAACCUUUAACAUUAAGACAUUAUGAAAAUAUCUUUAUAGUCUUAGGAUUGUGUCGAACAAAUAUUUAUACUUCCAAAUUAAGCAAGUUCUCCCUUCCUCCCUUCCUCCCGAAGAGAGUUCUAAAAUAAGACAUUAGCUUGAGCCAAAUCCAACGUCAUCUGCUAGGACUCACACACAUAACAAUCGACUGCCAAUCACAAACACAAGAACUAAGAAUCAAGAUGUGUAUGCGAACUAUCCCUGAAUAGAGAGGUAUAAAAAGCAAAGCCAAGUUGGGUUCAGUUACUUGCAUCCGUGGACAACCUUUGACUUCUAAUUUUGUCACAGCUUCUUCACAAAUGGAGGAUCAACAUGUUCAGAAUUUAUAGUUAACUGUAAGAAAGGCCUUGUUCACAACAUGAUUACUUUGACUCUCGCCACAAAAAUCAAUGUUUUGUCACUUGUCCACAUGAAUUCAGCUGCACAAAUAAAGGCGGGAGUUAGGAGAAAAGGUUAUUUAGCUGAGCCAAAAAGUUAUUUAGUGCCGAAGCGAUAUCAUAGAGGUUUUUAUUAUAAUUCCUAUAAAAUUCUGUUUGGAAUUCGGACAUAUAGAAAAAUUUGAAACUGAAGCAAAAUUCGAAGUUUAAUCUUGUACGACAUGUUCCAGAC
RNAcentral lists this long non-coding RNA (2224 nucleotides) under Triticum aestivum (bread wheat). RNAcentral describes it as "long non-coding RNA (TAES_LNC003173)". The record is from RNAcentral. Lineage: Eukaryota; Viridiplantae; Streptophyta; Magnoliopsida; Poales; Poaceae.